CAGAGGCCUAGGACCAGAGGUUCUUAGAGCCCGAGGCCAGCCUGAGGUCUCAGGAGGCUCAGAGGCCUAGGACCAGAGCUUCUUGGAGCAGGAGGCCAUGGAGGCCUCAGGAGGCUCAGAGGCCUAGGACCAGAGCUUCUUGGAGCAGGAGGCCAUGGAGGCCUCAGGAGGCUCAGCGGCCUAGGACCAGAGGUUCUUGGAGUCGGAGGCCAUGGAGGCCUCAGGAGGCUCAGUGGCCUAGGACCAGAGGUUCUUAGAGCCCGAGGCCAGCCUGAGGUCUCAGGAGGCUCAGAGGCCUAGGACCAGAGCUUCUUGGAGCAGGAGGCCAUGGAGGUCUCAGGAGGCUCAGAGGCCUAGGACCAGAGCUUCUUGGAGCCAGAGGCCAUGGAGGCCUCAGGAGGCUCAGUGGCCUAGGACCAGAGCUUCUUGGAGCCAGAGGCCAUGGAGGCCUCAGGAGGCUCAGAGGCCUAGGACCAGAGCUUCUUGGAGCAGGAGGCCAUGGAGGUCUCAGGAGGCUCAGUGGCCUAGGACCAGAGGUUCUUAGAGCCCGAGGCCAGCCUGAGGUCUCAGGAGGCUCAGAGGCCUAGGACCAGAGCUUCUUGGAGCAGGAGGCCAUGGAGGCCUCAGGAGGCUCAGAGGCCUAGGACCAGAGCUUCUUGGAGCAGGAGGCCAUGGAGGCCUCAGGAGGCUCAGCGGCCUAGGACCAGAGGUUCUUGGAGUCGGAGGCCAUGGAGGCCUCAGGAGGCUCAGUGGCCUAGGACCAGAGGUUCUUAGAGCCCGAGGCCAGCCUGAGGUCUCAGGAGGCUCAGAGGCCUAGGACCAGAGCUUCUUGGAGCAGGAGGCCAUGGAGGUCUCAGGAGGCUCAGAGGCCUAGGACCAGAGCUUCUUGGAGCCAGAGGCCAUGGAGGCCUCAGGAGGCUCAGUGGCCUAGGACCAGAGCUUCUUGGAGCCAGAGGCCAUGGAGGCCUCAGGAGGCUCAGAGGCCUAGGACCAGAGCUUCUUGGAGCAGGAGGCCAUGGAGGUCUCAGGAGGCUCAGUGGCCUAGGACCAGAGGUUCUUAGAGCCCGAGGCCAGCCUGAGGUCUCAGGAGGCUCAGAGGCCUAGGACCAGAGCUUCUUGGAGCCAGAGGCCAUGGAGGCCUCAGGAGGCUCAGUGGCCUAGGACCAGAGCUUCUUGGAGCCAGAGGCCAUGGAGGCCUCAGGAGGCUCAGAGGCCUAGGACCAGAGCUUCUUGGAGCAGGAGGCCAUGGAGGUCUCAGGAGGCUCAGUGGCCUAGGACCAGAGCUUCUUGGAGCCAGAGGCCAUGGAGGCCUCAGGAGGCUCAGAGGCCUAGGACCAGAGCUUCUUGGAGCCAGAGGCCAUGGAGGCCUCAGGAGGCUCAGAGGCCUAGGACCAGAGCUUCUUGGAGCCAGAGGCCAUGGAGGCCUCAGGAGGCUCAGAGGCCUAGGACCAGAGCUUCUUGGAGCAGGAGGCCAUGGAGGUCUCAGGAGGCUCAGUGGCCUAGGACCAGAGGUUCUUAGAGCCCGAGGCCAGCCUGAGGUCUCAGGAGGCUCAGAGGCCUAGGACCAGAGCUUCUUGGAGUCGGAGGCCAUGGAGGCCUCAGGAGGCUCAGUGGCCUAGGACCAGAGCUUCUUGGAGCCAGAGGCCAUGGAGGCCUCAGGAGGCUCAGAGGCCUAGGACCAGAGCUUCUUGGAGCAGGAGGCCAUGGAGGUCUCAGGAGGCUCAGUGGCCUAGGACCAGAGGUUCUUAGAGCCCGAGGCCAGCCUGAGGUCUCAGGAGGCUCAGAGGCCUAGGACCAGAGCUUCUUGGAGUCGGAGGCCAUGGAGGCCUCAGGAGGCUCAGUGGCCUAGGACCAGAGGUUCCUCAAGCUGGAGGCCCUCAGAGGCCAUCAAGUCCAACCUCUUUGUUUAUAGAUGUAGAAAUUGAGACCUAGGGCAGUGAGAUGACUUGGCCCAGGUCACGUAGGUAGUCAUCACUCCGGUGAUCCCACAGAGGUCCAAGCCCUGCCCUUUAGCUGCUCGCUUUGCCAAGCCCUGCCUUGUGACAGGGCAAGGGGGCAGCUUACCUUUCUCACAGUGCUUGCCAUGGAAGCCUCGAAGGCACUCACACGUGUAGGAGUCAUCGUGGGCAUCGCAGGAGCCCCCAUUGAGGCAGGGAUCAGAGUCACAGGGAGAGGGCAGAGCUGGGGAGGCAGAAACACCAGCUGGUCGAUUGGGCUUCCCUCUCCAGCCUCCCUAAGAGGGUGGCAAGCAGUGGGGGAUUGGCUCCCUGACUCAGGGCCUUUCAUCUCCUAUGGGUGUUGAGAAUCAAGAUCCUGUCAGGGUGCCAUCACUCCAUUUUGAUUCUAGGGUGCCCAGAAUUCACAAACCCUUCUGCCCUUCCUGCAUAGCUUUGUACCCACAUCCAUUCCCUUUCCUCCAUUUAGAAAUGGCUUUAUCAGAUCCUAGCCCUAGAGAUGUAAGGGACCAUCAAGGUGAUUGAGUCCAAUUUUCUCAUUUUAUGGGUGGGUAAACUGAGGCCAAGAGAGCUCAAGUAACUUGUCUAAGAUCACAUAGGGAGCAGAGCUGGGAUUCAAACUCAUUCCUGUGACUUCAAGUUAAGCCCUCUUUUCAUCAUCAUAAUUCAUAAUCACGAUAAAUAAAUAAAUUCCAUUUGCAUAAUGUUUUCACGUAUUUUCAAAGUCCUCUCCUUUUCAGCAUCCUGUUUGAGCCCCACAGAACCUUCUGGAAUAGACAGGGAAAUCAUUAUCCCUAUUUUAUUAAAGAGAAAACUCAGGGCCAGGAGGCUAUAGCGCUGGAGAGUGAUCAUUUAGGACUCCUUCCUCCCUGUCUUACAGGAGAGGAACUGAAUUCAGAGUGAUUGAGUGACUUGGCCAAGGUCACACAGCUAGUUAGCCCUGACACUAAGGCCAGAUCCCUGGCUCAGGCCCCUUUCCUUUAUGUUGGUUAUAUAAACCACUCCACGAACCACCUUCCUUGAAGCCUUUCCUUAAAGCAGGCUGAAAUUCGAAGCCUGCCUCCCCUUCCCACUCACAGUGGUUGGUGCUGUAGUCUGUGUGGCACACGCAGAGAUAGCUCCCACCAUACUCCAUGCAGUAGCCCCCAUCAGGACACUGGGUGUUCACGUUGCACGGGGUGGCUGUGACUUCUGCAGGGACGAGGAAUAAAUCACACCCCUCAGCCAUUGUAUAAUUGCCAUAAAACUAAAAAAAAAUCUUUUGAGAAAGAAACAUUUCAGGGAAGAGAGCUCGAUAACUCAAUCUAGAGGAUGCAUUGUUUGAAGAAGGCACCAUAAAGAUGCAUGAAGAAAACCUCCACAGCACCAGAAGAUUCAGCAUGAACUUUGGAGUAUAACUGGUUGAACUUUGGGGGUUGAACACAAGUAUUUUGAAUGUAAAUUUGUAUGCCACAGGAGACUGCCCCACUAACUGGCUUAUUGUCAAUGCACCUAGCAAACAUUGGUCUGCUCUCUCUCUCUCUCUCUCUCUCUCUCUCUCUCUCUCUCUCUCUCUCUCUCUCUCUCUCUCUCUCUCUCAUUUCCCUCUUAUCUCUAACUAAUUAAUAUUGUAGGCACCUUUAGCUAGAAGAUCUUUAGAGAUACAAGAUAGUUAUGUAAAAUGAUUCAUUGGGAAGACUAGUCUCCCAAAGAAUCACAGGGAGGAUUGUGAAAGGAAAUUCUUGGUUCUCUUUGUCUAUUCUGAGUUUACACUUGUGAAAAGGGAAUCCUUUAUUCUAUUUGCCUAGUUGGAGUUAAAACUUCGGUUAACACUAACAAGUAUCUCACUAGAUUGUGAAGACAGUAUUAACUCUGCUUUGUCUACCUUUUGAUUGAAUCAACAUAAGCUUGAACUAAGUGGAGGAGCUUUUCGGUGAAGAUGACUGACUAAGCAACUGCUCCUAAAUCAUGCUGGAGAUGCACUGCUGAAAGGAAGGCAGCCGCCCAUUGGGUAACAGGAAAGAUGCCAAGGUGGCGGUGCACCAGGCAGCUGCAGUGUCAGCAGGGCCAGCAGAUGUUGGGGAUGUGCUGUGAAUCUUAAAAAUUCUCAGACCCUACUUCAGAACACUUGGUUAAGACCACUCCCCAUUUUAAACAAUGAAGGUACUUGAUCAGGAAUGUGGGAACUCUACUUCACCCAUACUUAAGCAUGCCUUAGGGGAAGAUAAAGUUGUAAACUCUUUACUGAACAAUGAAAAGUACUUAACCCAUACUUAGUGAGGCAAAAGCCUUAAGCUAAGUCUAUUUUUAGAAAGGUGCUAAGUCCCUAUGAAGGUCAGGCAAAGUAAACUUGCAAGGGACAAACCAAACAAAAGAGGUGUGAGGUUUUAGUCUACUCAGGUGUGAAUUACUCAAAAAUUUAGUCUACUCAAAUGUGAAUUAAGAAUGGUCUGUCCUUUAGAAAACGUCUACUGUGAUUGGUAGAUGUGAGAACUUAGGGGAGGUGACAUAGGAGAAAAUUCUCUUUAAAAGGAGGUCAGAGGGUGAGAGCAGGGAGCUCUCAGAGAACUCUCUCUGAAGAGGAGAGAGCUUGCCAAAGAGGAAAGGGCUCCAUGGCUGAACUUAGUUGAGCUUGCCGAAGCUGAACUGGUGGGUCUCUCUGAACACUAGAGUCUUACUUGGACAAAUCUUGUGGUGAGUUGAUAAAAGACUGACUGAUCUCUCUCUUAAGUCUUAAGGCUGGCCUAAGCUGGUCUAGCCCUUUUCCUACUAUUCCCUCUUACUCUGUUUCUCUCCCUUUCUUUAGUUCCUUCAUUUGUAUUAAUUAAAAUCUCCAUAAAAACCCAGCUGACUUGGGUAUAUUUCAUAUUUGGGAAUUUUUCCCUGGUGACCACUAUAUUUUUUAUUUUGAAACCACAUUUACACAGUCACAAUUUAAACCAACUCUUUUAUCUGUAACAGUUUAUGCCUAACACUACUUUAAUUGUCACAGUGCUGAAGGUUCAGGAGUGCUGUUGAUUUGGAUUUGGAUGGGGGCAUGGGGCUUUGUUGUUUAGGGAAGUAAAAGAAGAGCAAUGGUCCUUACCAAAUUCACAGAGGAGACCAAAGUAUCCAGGGGGGCAGUGGCAUAUGGUGAAGUUUCCAUCCAGGCAUCUCCCCCCAUUCCGGCACUCACAGUCUUCAGGGAGCUCUGCAACCAUGUGAGAAGCAAAGACCCACCUUGAUAAGACAAAAGGACUCAGAGACACCAGUGUAUUUGUGGCAGAGACCUGGAAACAAGUAGCUGCCAUUGCUUGGGGGAGAUGACAGAGGAAUAUGAUGGAAUCUGGGUACAAGUAAGAACCAGCAACCAAUGGGGUGAAUACUGAGAAGCCUGAGGAGACUUCAGGGAACAGGUUCAGAACUGAAAAAAAUAGUAUACAGCACAACUCUAAAUGGGGAUGUGGAAACACCCCCCCCCCAAGAAUCCAGAGGAAGAGAUACAGCCAAAACCCCAGCAUGGCCCCAAAGAUAAGGAAGUAGAAAACCCCUGCCUCCAGGCCUUUGCAGAGUUAGGAGAUGUGGGGCCAUGCAAUGUUGCUUAGAGUUUCAGAAUUGUUUGAGGGAGUGAUCAGUUUUGCUGAAUUGUCCUCUUUUUCUCUAACAUUGUUAUUUGUUACAUGGGCUAGCUUUCUGCAAGGGACUUGUGGGGGAAGAUCCUGGGCCAUGUGGAAAAUGAAAGGCGUCUACAGAAAUUCCAAAAGGAAGAACCCACAAUGCCAAGAUCCAAGGCCCUCUGGCCCAGGCAUGUCCAGGAGAACAGCGAAGGGCUCACAAGGUGGUGUUGGGGGCAGCUGUCGGGGCACAAUUGUUGCCAAGCCCUUUGGCAUGAGUUCUGACUGAGGCCUCAAGCAGUUCAGAGUCCAGAUUAAUUCAUGAAACUUCUCCCAGAGACAUGGACACACCAGGGACCCAUAGCACACAGACUCUCCAGAAUGAUGGCCUUUACUGCUGGGAGGCCCCCUUGGCCUCUCCUGCUUGCCCUCGUUCCAUGGUUUGAUAGCCCAGAAGCCAGGGCUCUUGGUUUUAAAUGCUCUUUAGCUCCAUAGACAGCAUCAGAGUGCAAGGAAAGCCACGGUCCUUUUUUUUUUUUGAGCCCCAGACAAUGACUGCUGCCUGCCACCCUGGGGCCCCCAGAUCCUUUCUGAAGGACUUGGCUGCCUUCCCCUCAUUUGUGUUUGGAUGAGAGGGGAGAGAAGGGGGAAGAGAUGACGAGCGGAUUGAUUCCUUCCUUCUCUCCCACUGUCUUCUCUCAUACAUGGUCAUUCACACUCAGGACGCUUCCCCACACAUGCCCAAACCCCUGCCCAUGGCCCACGGGCUCUACUGAAGAACUGGGAAGGGGGCUGUGGAAGCAGCGAGCCUUGGGGUGGCAGCCCAGUAGUGGGGGUGCUCCCUCAGAUGGAGAAUGACCCUGGCUGGUUCUCAAUGGCCAACUGGACUUUUCUCUUGCCAGCGUUGCUCUGACUACCACACUGCACCCUGCUGGAGCAUGUACCCCACUUACUUUCUGCACAGUUAAAGCCUGUGAACCCAUCGGGACACUCGCAGAUGUAGCCCUGGUCCGUCUCCAGGCAGGUGCCCUCGUUCUGGCAGGGGUUGGAAAGACAGGCACUUGGGGUUCUGGGGCCUCCUACAAGAAGACAUCACAGAAGUGAAUCACAGGAGGACAGGCUGGGCCUCCAUCAUUCAUUUGCUUUUCAUGGAUGUCUAUUUUGUCUCCCCAACAGACUGCAUGGUCCAUGAAAGCUGGGGACCACCUUUGAGGCUUCUCCCUGUACCCUGAGGUGCUCAGCAGAGGCCUUGAAGAUACCUCAUCUGUGCUGAUUUCAGCUUCAGCUUCAUUUGAAAUCAAAGAUUUAGGACUCAGCUAGAGUUUAAUUCUGUAAACACUUAUUAAUCACUUACUCUGUUCAAGGCCCUGGGCUAGAGACAGUGUCUCCCUCCAAGAGCUUCCAUUCUCCGGAGGGGGAUCCAAGUUAACAGAGAAGUAAAUACACAAUGUCCUUUUGAGUGCUGGCCACUGCACAGGUCCAGUCAAGGCCUCCUGGCCACUGGACUGUGCUUUGAAAGGGGCCAAAGGUUCUAAGAGGCAGAGGGGAUGAGGGAGCAUCUUCUCAGUUGGGAGCCCAGGAGGCUCAUUUGACUGGAAAAAAACCCCUUCCUUACCUUUCACCGUAGAGUCAAUACUGUAUAUCAGUUCCAAGGCAGAAGAGUUGUAAGGGUUGAGGAAAUAGGGGUUGUGACUUGCCCAGGGUCCCACAGUUAAGUGUCUGAGGCUAGAUUUGAACCCAGGAUAUCCCCAUCUCUGGAUCUGGCUCUCAAUCUGUUGAGCCACCUACCUGUUCCCAAAGCCAUCCACCUUUUAGUAGGUUGGGAAAGUGAACUUGAAAGGAGCAAGGAAAAGCAGAAGUUGUGCCAUGUUUAAUUCUGCAGUUGUUUAUAAAUGGUGCCAAUGUCCAGGGCAGGUACCCGCACUGGCUGUACUUUGCAGAGGCUCCCUCUGCUCCCGUUUAUCUGGCACCCACCCAAUUGGCUGACUGUGUCCUGUCUAUUGCCCAUCCCUGGCACAAUGAGGAGCCUUGCAGCAUUUUAAGCCAAGGGCAUAGUCCAGGCUUGGCCCUUCCAUGAUCUUAUAGGCUCUGAGCUACAGCCGCCUGCCCAGCCAGGCAGACAAAGCCUGUGGUCAUCAGGCUCUCACUGCUUAGUCAGGAGCUGGCUAUGAGCACCAGUGUUUGUCCUCUGUUCUUUCUUAUUCUUCUUGGGCUAUUUGUCACCAAAGAAGAUUAGGUGAAGGCUGUGGGAAAAGCUCGUUUUAGAAUUUGAGACUCACUGCCCAAGCAAACUUUGGUGAGUCCCUCAGCUCCCCCAGGUCUCUGUUUCUCCGUCUGUAAAAUGAGGGUACUUGACCAGAUGCCUUGGUGCCUUCUUCCAAUUUCUGAUGUAGAGGCUGUGAUCUUUUCUGGUCCAGUGACUCGUUUGCUAGCAUUAUCCUAGACAGAUGUCCCAGUCAUUCCCUGAGUCUUGUUCCAAGGGACCCAGAGCAGCGGGGGAGAUUUCCUCCAGUGUGGGGCUGGCUGCCUCCAAACCCUUCAGGAAGGUGAUAGUCCCCUCAUCAGGGCUUCUUUGCUUAGAUGCUGGGGAUCGAAUCUGUGAAGCUGGAUGGGAAAAAUGGCAUCUUUGUUCUCACGGAUUCCUAUCUCCAUUGAACAUUGCUGAGAAGAGUGAUUCUGAGAGGGGUCCCAGGGCUUCCCCAGGCUGCCAGUGAUCAAGAACAUGUGAGUCAGGUUCUGAAAUGCUUGUGAAAGAGCAAAUAAGCCUUGUUCUAGCUUCGACUUUGCCUUACUGGAUGAACGGCACAAAGCUCCUUCUGUUGUCUUCCCCAUCUGAUAAAAGGGAGUCCUUGGGCCACUUGGUGAUGGGAUAGGAGGGCCAGUGAAGAUGGAAAGAUGAAGAGGCAGUGGGUCACCAUGGAGAGUUCCCAGGAGGCUUGGGUUCAAGGCUGCCUUCUUCCUUGAGGACCACAGACCAGCCUUCCUUCAGCUUUCAGCAUUUCAGUUUCCUCAUCUGGUGCUUCCUAUGUCUUGGCAGCCUGCAGGGGGCUCCAGAAGCCUGGGCGCUGACCAACUCUUGCUGAUGUCUUGGGAUGCCUUGUUGUAUCAUUGGGGGUGUGUGUGGGGGAAUCCUAAAGGCUUGAUGUCAGAGGACCUAUUUGGCUCAGGUCUGGAGAGGCUCCCCCCUCCCCCGCUGGCCCCAGAAGCUCUGGAGAGCCUUCAGACCCUAGACAGAGGAAAGGGUGCCUACUCAAAGUAGGUUAGCUUCUCCCAGAUCAGUGAUGGUUCUCAGCAUGAGGCAUGUGGACCUGCCAGGGAUGCAUCAGCAGCAGAAGAGGGAGGGAAGUCUGUCCAGCCGGAGCCGUCUCUGCCCUUUAUCUCUCUUCAAUGAACGCCACCAUCCACAGAACCAGGGAUGCCUUGCCACAUCCCAGACACCUCUCUUCUCUCCUCAAUGGGACGAGUCUCCAGAGAUACAGUGGAGGAUGCUGCCCAUUGGCUUCCCAGAGACUCCCCCCCAGGCAAGAUCUCUGAGCAGAAAUGCUGGGCCAUUUCCCAUGGCAGAGCCACUUUGUUGUUCCCACUUGUGGAAUGCAGAUACUCAGAGGGGAUGCUGAUUGAUUGGACAGUUAAUGCUCAGAGAAUGAGCCCUUGAUGCCAGGCCCUGACCUGGGCUCUGCUCUCAAGGAGCCGACCUUCUAGUAGAGGUACGGAAAGAUCACACUGAUGCCAGGAGAGGUCACUGGCACUGGGGAGCCAAGGAAGGCCUUCUGCAGAGGCUAAGAUCCCAGUCAAGUCUGGGAGGAAGCCACAAAGGCUGAAGUGAGGAGGGGCAGCAGCUAGGCCAAGGAUCAGUGGAAGGAACCUUAUCCGGAUGUGUAGGACUGAGGUCUCUCAGCCUCAGUCUCCUCGUCUAUAAAAUGGGGGUAAUACGAAUGAAGAAAACCUCUGGGGCUUGUGGUGACCAUCAAAUUACCUCCAUGUGUGUGUCCCCAUCUAUCUAUGCCCCUUUAUAACCCUUCAAGUGCCCUCUAAAUGCUGGCCGCUCUGGUCCUGGUUUGCUCAUCUGCUAAGUGGGGGGAUGUAUGGGGAUUAGAGGACGCCCAAGUCCCUUCCAGAUGCAGCUUGGAGCUCCCUCUCCCAGCCCCGGGUGUCUGCUUGGAGGGCACCUGCUCACCCUCUCCACCGGCCUCUUCCACAGUCAUCCCAAACCUGAGGCAGAUUGGAUGCCUGGGGGUGGGGGGCCUGGGGGCAGUGGAUGACCUCACCAAGCUCUGAGGGCCCCCCGGGGCGGCUUCUGCCAGCUCAGUGGCCUCAGGCCAGGGAAAGGCUGCUCCCGCCUGGGGAGGACCCGCCCCAUUCAAUUCUCUAAUUCCAGGCCCCUUUCUAGAACUGGACCCACCAUUCUGAGUGCCCUAGAGAUGUGCAUUUCCCUCAUUCCUGCUGCUGCGCCUCUCCAGGCACCUUUUUCAGCCACUCAUUUGGAUCUUGGGAUCCACUAGGAUCCUUCACUCCUUUACAGAAAACUCUCCUGGGGAUAGUCACACCGAGUCCAGCCCCAGACAUUUCCUGGCCACGUGACCCUGGGUAAAUCAUCCUGGGCUCUGGUCUUGGGCGGAUUAUUUGUGGACACCGAGUGUAGCUAUGUGCCCCGCCCUCCUCCUGGCCACCUCAUCCCGCCCAAUGCCCAGUCGUGGCCCCGGGGCGUCCUUUGAGGCUCUCCGCCACACCCUGCGGGAAUGGGCACCCGGUCCAGUGUCACGAGAGCCCGAAAGCCAGCUUGGCUCUGGACUUCGGGGAGGGCGGGCGGGCUGGCUUCGGUCCGCUGGAACGUGAAGGAAAUGCCUCCAACAUUUGGCCGGCCCGCAUGCCUCCUCCCUUCCCUGGGGUCAGGGAAGCCUGCGCAGUGGGCAGGAAGCUGGUUCUCGGCCUUCCGGUCUCCGCCCCCACGCAGUCACAUGCUUUGCCUCGUCUUGGAGCUGGCCCGCCCCAGGCUGCGGAGGCUUACCGUACUGACAGUUGUUCCCAUAGUAACCCGGGGAGCACGUGCAGAUGUAGCGCCCCGGGCGGAUGUAGUUGCACGUCUGCCGGUCCCUGCAGCUCCGGUCUUCGCAGGCCGAAGGAUCUGGGGCCGAGAGAAGGAAGAGAAGGCGGCUGAGCCAGCGAGCCAGGGCAGAGGGGGAGGGGAGCGCCCGCACGGAGGGAUGAGCGGUCAGAGAGCCCUUACCUAACUCACAGCGAGGGCCUGCGAAGGGCUCCGAACACAGGCAGCUGUAGUUAGCCACCAGGUCAACACAUUUCCCGCCGUUCAAGCACGGGUCCGAGUCACAUUCGUUUAUAUCUGCGGGGAGGAAUGGCAGAUGAGCUGAUAUUUGGGAGGCCAGCAAGGCAGGCGCAAUUGCACCCACUUUUCAGAGGAGGAAACUGAGGCUCAGGGACAGCAAGCAUCAGAGGCAGGAUCCGAAUCCAGCCCUCGGGCGUCUUACCCGUCUCGCAGUUGUCUCCCGUGUACCCGGAUUGGCACACACACACCGCAGUGCUGUUUGCAGCCUGGCACUCCCCACCGUUCUGGCAGUCCUUGGCAUCACACGGGGAUUCCGCUGGACAAGGAGACAAACACAGGAGGAAGGGCCUGGCUCAUCUGAGAUCAGUGAAUGGGCCUGCUAUGUCUUGAGCAUCAUCUGUGGAAGAGGCAUGAAAAAAGAGAGGAUUUGCAGGACAAGCCAGGCAUGCAGACCAAGGUGAAAGAUCUGAUCUGUCAAUUAAGGGGAAGACUCCAAACAGAAUGUUCCCAGGAGGAGGCAGUUGGAGCUGGAACUGAUUCUCUCUUUGGGGGAGACUGACCAAGAGAGACUGGCUUUUCCUGACUUGGGCAGAGAGAGACCCUUUGUGGCUUUUGACAGAGUCUGGACUUGAAUUACUCAAGCAGAGAUUAUCUGACUAAAGAAAGAAGAAAAGAAGAAAGAUACUUGUCCUCCAAACUCUCUGAUUGUCCCAGUCACAGCUGUGGCUGGACUGACAUUUCCCACACCCUCCUAAUUCUCCUUGUAGACUAGGGACACCCCUAUCCCACUCACCUUCAAUUUCCAUCCUGUCCUAUCUUUCCCAAUAAACCUCCUUACUGGAGAAAGAGAACAAGAGUGUCUUCUCUAAAUCUCACAGUUCAUCUUUGAGUUAUAUAGAAAGGUAACUGACUAAGACCGGGGGAGGGGAAAGGGUGGCAGGAGGGCUUUGAGUGGAAGACUGGAAGGUGAAAGGUGGAGGGUAGGAAAUAGUUUGAUUUAUUAGCCAUUAGGGAUCAAUAGGCAGCCCAGAGCAACCCCUCUAGCAGCAUCUCUCCAUCUAUCUCUCAGAAAUACUUCUAUCUCGGGACUUCUGGGUAAACAUGGUUGCAAUCUAGACGCAAAUCACUUCCUCUCCCCGGCACCAAACGAAAUAGACUACCUCAAAAGAGCAUAAAAAUCAUCUUUGGAAGAACAGAGGGACUCUACAGUACCCCACAGAAAUGAAGGUACAUGGGGUUUGAACAUUGCCACACUAUAAAAAGGAGGAAAAGCUUGUACAAAAACAUGAACUGAGCUGCCCUUCCCCCUCCUCCCCCAGGGAACCAGAGUAGGGGAUCAGAGUGCUCACCAGGACAGUGAGUGAGUGAGGAACGUCUCUGUCUGGGGGGGGGGGGCACACCAGGGUCCUUGGGAUCUAAAGACUGCUAGGGAAUGACCUCUCAGGGCAGUUUCAUGGGAGAACCCUGCGCACUGCAGAGCACGCAGACCGCGGGGCCCCUGCAAACUGCGAACAGUGUGGAGUCUCAAGAAUCUAUAAAAACUGCCUAAGGCUGAAGCAUCACCCCUCGCUGUAGUGGGGGGAGAGGGGGACACGCCAGGCUCCCUGGAAACUGACAGGGAAUACCAGAGAUCCACCCCUCAGAGCGGUUUUACAGGAGAUUCCUGUGCACCGGUGAGAAGAGACCACAGAGCACAGGGGCGGGCGAGCUAACAAACCGCGGAGGCUGGGAAGAACUAGUCUGAGGCAACCUAAAUCCACAGAAAACCCGCCCAUAUCACCCAGACCUCGGACCAAAAAGAAAAGGGGAAAAAAAACACCAAAGGGAUGGCUCUCAUGGCCCCAAAUCAAGCCUCCAAGAAGAAAGGGAAAAAAGUGACUAUUUAAAACUUUUAUGGCGGGAAUACCCAAGGAAAAGAAGAGAAAGAGGAUGAAAUUCAAACAAAAUCAAAACAUGCCCCACAAAAUGGAAAUGAUCCACAAGCUCUGGAAGAACUCAAAUUGGAGCUUAUCCAAAAGAUGGAAACCUUAUGGCAAGAAAAAUGGGGAAAAACCCAGAAAGAGGUCAGCAGCCUGACAAACAAGACCUCACAAUUGGAGAAAGAGCUGGAAGCCUCUAACAGAAGGGCAGACCAAGCUGAAAAGCAAAACCAGUCCCUAAAGACCAGAAUUAAGCAACUGGAAGACAGUGAUCUUGCAAAACAGCAAGAAUUAAUAAAGCAAAGCCAAAAAAAUACUUCUAUCUCAUAACAAAUAGGCAUCCUGAGGUUACCCUAGUACCUCUCUAGUCAGCCAAAGUGUAUUCCAGUUAUUACAACAAGAAAUAGUUCCUUCACAGAUUAUCUCCUUUAUUACAAUUAGCUCCAGCAGAUUAUCUAUUUUAUUACACAUCCCAACCCUAACUUUAGGGACAACCCAUGAAGACAGCUCCUCAGGGCGUGUCAUGAUAGGACUGAUGGACACUCCAGGUCCUCCACGGACCGAAUGACUGGCCUGGGCGGCACAUUUGUCUUUGCAUCUAUGCCAGGGCCACCUACUUUUGUCAAGAGUGAGAGACUUGGUCAGAGAUGGGUGACAUUUACCCCGGACUCUAGGAGAUUGGAACCCUCUAAAUUCGAAUUCAUGCAGCCCCGAAAUGAGAUUCUAUCAAGAUUUCCAGCAGAUGACAGCUGAGAAGGACUUUGGUGGUCAUCUGCUAAGGGCAGAUCAGUACAAGAUGGAAGAGGCACCAGAGCCAGGCAGGAAAGGCUGCUGCUGCCCAGAAAAGUUUUAUCCACCAUCCCCAAACCAAGUUGUUGUUUCUGAGAAGAGGCUGGGCAAAGAGGCAAAGGAGCCGAGUAAAAAGUCCAGGAGGUAACUGAUAAAAGGGGAGGGCGGGUGUCCUAGGAUUUGGAGGAAGAAUGGGGAGGACCGGUGGCGAGGAAGCCUUCAGAAUAGAGUUCCUGUGAAAUCCUGGUGAGGGGGCAGAACUCACAGGAGCUCCAUGAUCAGGUCAGCUAACAGACACUACAAGGACUGAGAAUGUCAGCAAGGACAAGCAGCUGUGAACGGAUAGAAAAGCGGGGCACCGUCUCGUGCCAGGAAUGGUUACCCUCUCAAUGACCCGAACUUGGCAGGAAAUGCUGAAGCGAACAUCAAAGGCUUUUAAAGCGCUGUGGAAAGCUCGGCCAAGAUCAGAGAAGGGGCAGAAGCACAGCUUGGGGUGCCCCUGGAGAACCGAGAGAGAGAGAAGGAAGGACUCUUCUUUUUUCUGCUCCCACUGAGACAGACAGGAAAAAGGGUUGUCCGCGGCACAGCUAGGGGACGUCCUGGAAAGUGCCAGGACACCUGAGCCCAGAGCCUCAGUUUCUUGUCCGUAACAAUGGCUUUGGCCAAGGCCAAAUGAUCCAGUCAAAGGCGUCCUGGCUGCCGUCAUGAUCAUGAAUAAUCAGAGUUCCAGGGGAAGAGAGCACUUGGGCCUGCUCUGUGAUGUGGGUCCUGGGUCACCUGGCAGGUGCUGCAGCCGAGCUCCUCUCGGGGAUGGGCAGAGUCACCUGGUGCCCAGAUAUGAAGAAGACAGAGCUGUAGCCCGACUUCCAUCGGGGCAUGAUUCUAUGAAGCGGACGGUGUGCUGAGGAAGGGAUGUGGGCUCACAAAGAUGCCUUGUUCCCGUCUGUUUACCCCCCACCAUCCGUGGGGGCCCAUGCUAGAGCGGUGAGGGGGGCACAUGGGCCUGGCUCUCCUUUCCAUUGUUUUGCUGGGUUCUUGGACUGCAGAUGGAACGGAUGCUCCAGGAAGGAACACCUGCAUUUCAGCCUCGCUUUCCUCGGGCACCCGACGGACCGAAGUGCGGGGGGG
Monodelphis domestica (gray short-tailed opossum) is the source of this 14647-nucleotide non-coding RNA. NCBI's taxonomy places the organism in Eukaryota, Metazoa, Chordata, Mammalia, Didelphimorphia, Didelphidae. The record is from RefSeq and is a predicted model, not a curated record.